GGAAUUUUGGACAAUGGGCGCAAGCCUGAUCCAGCCAUGCCGCGUGCGGGAAGAAGGCCUUCGGGUUGUAAACCGCUUUUGUCAGGGAAGAAACGUUCUGGGCUAAUCCCCUGGAGUAAUGACGGUACCUGACGAAUAAGACCCGGCUAACUACGUGCCAGCAGCCGCGGUAAUACGUAGGGUGCAAGCGUUAAUCGGAAUUAAUGGGCGUAAAGCGUGCGCAGGCGGCUAUGCAAGACAGAUGUGAAAUCCCCGGGCUCAACCUGGGAACUGCAUUUGUGACUGCAGGGCUAGAGUACGGUAGAGGGGGAUGGAAUUCCGCGUGUAGCAGUGAAAUGCGUAGAUAUGCGGAGGAACACCGAUGGCGAAGGCAAUCCCCUGGACCUGUACUGACGCUCAUGCACGAAAGCGUGGGGAGCAAAC
RNAcentral lists this ribosomal RNA (423 nucleotides) under uncultured bacterium. RNAcentral's name for it is "bacterial SSU rRNA". It matches the Rfam family "Bacterial small subunit ribosomal RNA", at positions 358 to 773 of the family's 1533-position model. The record is from RNAcentral.